AUUGAACGCUGGCGGCAUGCCUUACACAUGCAAGUCGAACGGCAGCACGGGAGCAAUCCUGGUGGCGAGUGGCGAACGGGUGAGUAAAGUAUCGGAACGCGCCCAGUCGUGGGGGAUAACGUAGCGAAAGUUACGCUAAUACCGCAUACGAUCUAUGGAUGAAAGCGGGGGAUCGCAAGACCUCGCGCGAUCGGAGCGGCCGAUAUCAGAUUAGGUAGUCGGUGGGGUAAAGGCUCACCAAGCCGACGAUCUGUAGCUGGUCUGAGAGGACGACCAGCCACACUGGGACUGAGACACGGCGCAGACUCCUACGGGAGGCAGCAGUGGGGAAUUUUGGACAAUGGGCGAAAGCCUGAUCCAGCCAUGCCGCGUGCAGGAUGAAGGCCUUCGGGUUGUAAACUGCUUUUGUACGGAACGAAAAGGUUUGGGCUAAUAAGCUGAGCUCAUGACGGUACCGUAAGAAUAAGCACCGGCUAACUACGUGCCAGCCGCCGCAGUAA
This 500-nucleotide ribosomal RNA is filed under the name uncultured bacterium. RNAcentral's name for it is "partial 16S ribosomal RNA". It matches the Rfam family "Bacterial small subunit ribosomal RNA", at positions 29 to 523 of the family's 1533-position model. The record is from RNAcentral.